This is a small nucleolar RNA of Cryptotermes secundus, 306 nucleotides long. NCBI's taxonomy places the organism in Eukaryota, Metazoa, Arthropoda, Insecta, Blattodea, Kalotermitidae. The record is from RefSeq and is a predicted model, not a curated record.
GCCAAUGAUGAAAUAUGGCCAAUGAAAUUUGGCAGGAUUGAGGGGGAACAUGCUAGACUCGGCCUACAGCCUAUAUCCAACCCUGUGUAAUCUUGGUGAUUGCUGGCCCUAAAGGCUUUCACUGUAAGGCCACAGGAACAGCAGAACCAACACUGAGCACAAAUUCUUUAUAGCAAUCAACUGGAGAUUAAUUGUUAUUUGCUACUGGCUAAUGUUGGACAUAAUGCAGUUCUAUUUGGAUCUGGCUGUAGGAGCAUGUCUCAGCUCUCCUGCUAAAUGUGAUUAUUCUUUAGUAAUCUGAUGGCU